RNAcentral lists this ribosomal RNA (198 nucleotides) under uncultured bacterium. RNAcentral's name for it is "partial 16S ribosomal RNA". It matches the Rfam family "Bacterial small subunit ribosomal RNA", at positions 328 to 539 of the family's 1533-position model. The record is from RNAcentral.
ACGCUCGACACCUACGGGAGGCAGCAGUGGGGAAUAUUGCACAAUGGGGGAAACCCUGAUGCAGCGACGCCGCGUGAAGGAAGAAGUAUCUCGGUAUGUAAACUUCUAUCAGCAGGGAAGAAAAUGACGGUACCUGACUAAGAAGCCCCGGCUAACUACGUGCCAUCAGCCGCGGUAAUCUGAGCGGGCUGGCAAGGC